This is a non-coding RNA of Candidatus Kaiserbacteria bacterium, 752 nucleotides long. Lineage: Bacteria; Candidatus Kaiseribacteriota. The record is from Rfam.
CUUAAUGAGAGUUUGAUCCUAGCUCAGGGUGAAUGCUGGCGGCGUGGAUAAGUCAUGCAAGUCGAACGCCCCGCAAGGGGAGUGGCAAACGAGGUAGUAACGCGUAGGUAGAUCCCCCGAAGUCGAGCAUAGCGAGCCGAAAGGUUCGGUAAUUCUCGAUAGUCCCGCAAGGGUAAAGGUUUUUCGCUUCGGGAGUUGCCUGCGCAGUAUCAGCUAGUUGGUAGGGUAAUGGCCUACCAAGGCUACGACGCUUAGGGGCGCUGAGAGGCGGACCCCCACCGAUCGGACUGAGACACGGCCGAUACUCCUACGGGAGGCUGCAGACGAGAAUAUUCCGCAAUGGGCGAAAGCCUGACGGAGCGACGCCGCGUGAUGGAUGAAGUGCUUUGGUAUGUAAACAUCUUUUAUCGGGGACGAAGUUUAUUGACGGUACCCGAUGAAUAAGGGGCUCCUAACUCUGUGCCAGCAGGAGCGGUAAUACAGAGGCCCCAAGCAUUACCCGGAAUCACUGGGCGUAAAGGGUGUCUAGGCGGCCAUAUUAGUCGUUCGUUAAAUCCGCGGGCUCAACCUGCGGUCUGCGAGCGAAACGGUAUGGCUCGAGGGCGUGAGAGGUGCACGGAACUCAUGGUGGAGGGGUGAAAUCCGUUGAUAUCAUGGGGAACACCAAAGGCGAAGGCAGUGCACUGGUACGUUCCUGACGCUCAAACACGAAAGCCAGGGUAGCGAAUGGGAUUAGAUACCCCAGUAGUCCU